GCAAGUCGAGGGGCAGCGGGAUUGAAGCUUGCUUCAAUUGCCGGCGACCGGCGCACGGGUGAGUAACACGUAUCCAACCUUCCGUUUACUCGGGGAUAGCCUUUCGAAAGAAAGAUUAAUACCCGAUAGUAUGGUGAGAUUGCAUGAUAACACCAUUAAAGAUUUAUUGGUAAACGAUGGGGAUGCGUUCCAUUAGGUAGUAGGCGGGGUAACGGCCCACCUAGCCUGCGAUGGAUAGGGGUUCUGAGAGGAAGGUCCCCCACAUUGGAACUGAGACACGGUCCAAACUCCUACGGGAGGCAGCAGUGAGGAAUAUUGGUCAAUGGGCGAGAGCCUGAACCAGCCAAGUAGCGUGAAGGAUGAAGGUCCUACGGAUUGUAAACUUCUUUUANAAGGGAAUAAACGCUCCACGUGUGGAGCCUUGUAUGUACCUUAUGAAUAAGCAUCGGCUAACUCCGUGCCAGCAGCCGCGGUAAUACGGAGGAUGCCGAGCGUUAUCCGG
RNAcentral lists this ribosomal RNA (502 nucleotides) under uncultured Bacteroidales bacterium. RNAcentral describes it as "bacterial SSU rRNA". It matches the Rfam family "Bacterial small subunit ribosomal RNA", at positions 57 to 548 of the family's 1533-position model. Lineage: Bacteria; Pseudomonadati; Bacteroidota; Bacteroidia; Bacteroidales. The record is from RNAcentral.